RNAcentral lists this ribosomal RNA (465 nucleotides) under Vreelandella stevensii. RNAcentral describes it as "partial 16S ribosomal RNA". It matches the Rfam family "Bacterial small subunit ribosomal RNA", at positions 338 to 795 of the family's 1533-position model. The record is from RNAcentral. Lineage: Bacteria; Pseudomonadati; Pseudomonadota; Gammaproteobacteria; Oceanospirillales; Halomonadaceae.
CCUACGGGUGGCUGCAGUGGGGAAUAUUGGACAAUGGGCGAAAGCCUGAUCCAGCCAUGCCGCGUGUGUGAAGAAGGCCUUCGGGUUGUAAAGCACUUUCAGUGGGGAAGAAAGCCUUGGGGCUAAUACCCUCGAGGAAGGACAUCACCCACAGAAGAAGCACCGGCUAACUCCGUGCCAGCAGCCGCGGUAAUACGGAGGGUGCGAGCGUUAAUCGGAAUUACUGGGCGUAAAGCGCGCGUAGGCGGUCUGAUAAGCCGGUUGUGAAAGCCCCGGGCUCAACCUGGGAACGGCAUCCGGAACUGGCAGGCUAGAGUGCAGGAGAGGAAGGUAGAAUUCCCGGUGUAGCAGUGAAAUGCGUAGAGAUCGGGAGGAAUACCAGUGGCGAAGGCGGCCUUCUGGACUGACACUGACGCUGAGGUGCGAAAGCGUGGGUAGCAAACAGGAUUAGAUACCCCAGUAGUC